RNAcentral lists this ribosomal RNA (252 nucleotides) under uncultured bacterium. RNAcentral describes it as "partial 16S ribosomal RNA". It matches the Rfam family "Bacterial small subunit ribosomal RNA", at positions 524 to 776 of the family's 1533-position model. The record is from RNAcentral.
UACGUAGGGGGCAAGCGUUGUCCGGAUUUAUUGGGCGUAAAGAGCGUGUAGGCGGCUUGGUAGGUCUCGCGUCAAAACCUGAGGCUCAACCUCAGUUCGCGUGGGAAACCACCUAGCUAGAGUCCGGAAGAGGAGAACGGAAUUCCCAGUGUAGCGGUGAAAUGCGCAGAUAUUGGGAAGAACACCAGUGGCGAAGGCGGUUCUCUGGGACGGUACUGACGCUGAGACGCGAAAGCAUGGGGAGCGAACAGG